UUUACACAAUGGGGUGCCCUAACACGACGGGCUGAGAUUAUACCCUUAACACCUGAACCGGGUAAUGCCGGCGGAGGGAACUGAAAAUGCUGAAGU
Molecule: non-coding RNA, 96 nt
Filed under: Runella slithyformis
Lineage: Bacteria; Pseudomonadati; Bacteroidota; Cytophagia; Cytophagales; Spirosomataceae
Also listed under: 1 other name
Description: TPP sequence
Rfam family: TPP riboswitch aptamer (THI element)
About the family: Vitamin B(1) in its active form thiamin pyrophosphate (TPP) is an essential coenzyme that is synthesised by coupling of pyrimidine and thiazole moieties in bacteria. The previously detected thiamin-regulatory element, thi box was extended, resulting in a new, highly conserved RNA secondary structure, the THI element, which is widely distributed in eubacteria and also occurs in some archaea.
Source: RNAcentral